UAGAGUUUGAUCCUGGCUCAGGAUGAACGCUAGCUACAGGCUUAACACAUGCAAGUCGAGGGGCAUCAGGAAGAAAGCUUGCUUUCUUUGCUGGCGACCGGCGCACGGGUGAGUAACACGUAUCCAACCUGCCCUUUACUCGGAGAUAGCCUUUCGAAAGAAAGAUUAAUACCCGAUAGCAUAAUGAUUCCGCAUGGUUUCAUUAUUAAAGGAUUCCGGUAAAGGAUGGGGAUGCGUUCCAUUAGGUUGUUGGUGAGGUAACGGCCCACCAAGCCUUCGAUGGAUAGGGGUUCUGAGAGGAAGGUCCCCCACAUUGGAACUGAGACACGGUCCAAACUCCUACGGGAGGCAGCAGUGAGGAAUAUUGGUCAAUGGGCGCUAGCCUGAACCAGCCAAGUAGCGUGAAGGGUGAAGGCUCUAUGGGUCGUACACUUCUUUUAUAUAAGAAUAAAGUGCAGUAUGUAUACUGUUUUGCAUGUAUUAUAUGAAUAAGGAACGGCUAACUCCGUGCCNGCCGCCGCGGUNNUNCGGNGGUUCCGCGCGUUUUCCGGNUUUNUUGGGUUUNNNGGGNGUGUCGGUGGNCUGGUNNGUCCGUUGUGNNNGUUUGCGGCUCNCCCGUNNNNUUGCCGUUGNUNCUGUCCGUCUUGNGUNCCGUNGNGGUGGGCGGNNUUCGUGGUGUNGCGGUGNNNUGCUUNGNUGUCCCGNNGNNCUCCGAUUGCGAGGCCAGCUCACCGGAAUGAGACGCACACUGAUGCUGGAAAGGGUGGGUCUCAAACAGGAUUAGAUACCCUGGUAGUCCACACAGUAACCGAUGAAUUCUCGCUGUUUGCGAUAUACAGUAAAGCGGCCAAGCGAAAGCAUUAAGUAUUCCACCUGGGGAGUACGCCGGCAACGGUGAAACUCAAAGGAAUUGACGGGGGCCCGCACAAGCGGAGGAACAUGUGGUUUAAUUCGAUGAUACGCGAGGAACCUUACCCGGGCUUAAAUUGCAGUGGAAUGAUGUGGAAACAUGUCAGUGAGCAAUCACCGCUGUGAAGGUGCUGCAUGGUUGUCGUCAGCUCGUGCCGUGAGGUGUCGGCUUAAGUGCCAUAACGAGCGCAACCCUUAUCUUUAGUUACUAACAGGUUAUGCUGAGGACUCUAGAGAGACUGCCGUCGUAAGAUGUGAGGAAGGUGGGGAUGACGUCAAAUCAGCACGGCCCUUACGUCCGGGGCUACACACGUGUUACAAUGGGGGGUACAGAAGGCAGCUAGCGGGUGACCGUAUGCUAAUCCCAAAAUCCUCUCUCAGUUCGGAUCGAAGUCUGCAACCCGACUUCGUGAAGCUGGAUUCGCUAGUAAUCGCGCAUCAGCCACGGCGCGGUGAAUACGUUCCCGGGCCUUGUACUCACCGCCCGUCAAG
RNAcentral lists this ribosomal RNA (1401 nucleotides) under uncultured bacterium. RNAcentral's name for it is "partial 16S ribosomal RNA". It matches the Rfam family "Bacterial small subunit ribosomal RNA". The record is from RNAcentral.